RNAcentral lists this ribosomal RNA (497 nucleotides) under uncultured bacterium. RNAcentral's name for it is "partial 16S ribosomal RNA". It matches the Rfam family "Bacterial small subunit ribosomal RNA", at positions 28 to 507 of the family's 1533-position model. The record is from RNAcentral.
GAUGAACGCUGGCGGCGUGCCUAAUACAUGCAAGUCGAGCGAACAGACGAGGAGCUUGCUCCUCUGACGUUAGCGGCGGACGGGUGAGUAACGCGUGGAUAACCUACCUAUAAGACUGGGAUAACUUCGGGAAACCGGAGCUAAUACCGGAUAAUAUAUUGAACCGCAUGGUUCAAUAGUGAAAGACGGCUUUGCUGUCACUUAUAGAUGGAUCCGCGCCGCAUUAGCUAGUUGGUAAGGUAACGGCUUACCAAGGCAACGAUGCGUAGCCGACCUGAGAGGGUGAUCGGCCACACUGGAACUGAGACACGGUCCAGACUCCUACGGGAGGCAGCAGUAGGGAAUCUUCCGCAAUGGGCGAAAGCCUGACGGAGCAACGCCGCGUGAGUGAUGAAGGUCUUCGGAUCGUAAAACUCUGUUAUUAGGGAAGAACAAAUGUGUAAGUAACUAUGCACGUCUUGACGGUACCUAAUCAGAAAGCCACGGCUAACUACGUG